RNAcentral lists this ribosomal RNA (255 nucleotides) under uncultured bacterium. RNAcentral describes it as "partial 16S ribosomal RNA". It matches the Rfam family "Bacterial small subunit ribosomal RNA", at positions 524 to 776 of the family's 1533-position model. The record is from RNAcentral.
UACGUAGGGGGCAAGCGUUGUCCGGAUUAUUGGGCGUAAAGAGCGUGUAGGCGGCCAGACAGGUCCGUUGUGAAAACUAGAGGCUUAACCUCUAGACGUCGAUGGAAACCGUCUGGCUAGAGUCCGGAAGAGGAGAGUGGAAUUCCCAGUGUAGAGGUGAAAUUCGUAGAUAUUGGGAAGAACACCGGUGGCGAAGGCGGCUCACUGGCUCGAGUUACUGACGCUCAGGCGCGACAGCGUGGGGAGUCAAACAGG